AACCUUUGUGAUUGUCACUAUAUGGAAUCCCUAUUUCUUCAAAAUCAAUAUCUCCCCAAACAUCAUCAAGUAUUACAAGAAUCUUUUCACCAUUUGUUAAUCUUUUCCAUAGUUUUAAAGAACUCUACAACCUUUGUGAUUGUCACUAUAUGGAAUCCCUAUUUCUUCAAAAUCAAUAUCUCCCCAAACAUCAUCAAGUAUUACAAGAAUCUUUUCACCAUUUGUUAAUCUUUUCCAUAGUUUUAAAGGUCGGUCUGAUUCACUACAGUCAUCAAACUUCAAUCCCAAGGGCCCAGCAAUAUCAUCUUGAAUCCUUUUAAUAUCAGGAGAAAAUGACACUGUCGUAACAAUAAUGCACGAAAAUUGUGUGGAUUGCUUAAGUUUCUUACCAACUUCUUUGGCCAAUGUAGUUUUUCCUGUGCCCCCCAUCCCUUGCAACCCGAUUAUAUAAUUGUUGUCAUCUUCCAAUGCAUCCAAAAGCUCAUUAUAUUUCGAUUCUCUGCUUUUAAAAGAAAUAUAGUGUCGGGAUGAAUAACGUUCAACAUCUGGAAGAGGAGCAGGGAGUCCGAUUGCAAGUUCCUUUCCAAUUUCCAUUAAUUUUUUUAUUUGGUCUUUUUUAUUUGCCAGUUCCUUUCCCCUUCUGUAUUGCCAUAUGCAAUUAGGAAAUAAUCCAAUAAAACAUUUCUGUUUUGUUUUGGUGUCUUCUUGAAUGAGCUUAUCAGCUUUUUCUUCCCAAAAAAGAGCAUUUGCUUCAACAUCUUCUCCUCUUCUUUUUGCAACUUUAACACGCUGCCCAACAGCUGUCCUUUCUGCUUCCAACCAAACUUUUUCUUCUUCAAGUUCCUUAGACAAUGAUGGUGAAAACAUAUAUAACGGAAUCUCUUUAGCCCUUCAUUAUUCAACUUCUCCAUAUUUUGCUUUGCGUAAUCAUCAGAAAACUCGCCAUCUAAAUCAUUUUCAAUAUAUCAAAGUUAGGCAUACAUGUUCAACAUUGCUUCAAUAUAUCAAAUUAAGCAUUUACAAAAUUAUGCCAUAAUUCUAAAACACUGCAUAAAGUUGAGGACAAAUAUAGAAUUGAAGAUAAAUUGAUCUGGGGUUAUGAGCAACAACAAAAUAGCAACCAUAUUAUUGUUUUUUUUACCUGUUUUUUUCACCACUUUCAAUGCAAGCAAGCUCGGGUUGAUUGAGAAAUUAAUCUUCUUCUUUCUCCAAUAUGUAGUGCUUUCUUCAGUUCAAGUUAUGCAAGCAGUAAACAAAAAGCAGCAAGAUUACAUCAUAUAUAUAUAGUGCUGGCACAACUGUUAUAUACGAGGAAUAAAUUUCAUUCUCCGAUACCCCUUCACACGAUGGAGCUAGGUAUAUAUCUAUCAAGCCCAAUUUUAAAUCUAAAGUCGUGAAAGGUUAGGGGAGAAGACCUUUGGUGAAAAAGUCCACAACUUGUUCUUGAAAACUCACAGAUGACAAAAGCAAUACACCAGUUUGUACUUGGUCAAAAACAAUGUAGCACUUUAUGACAUUAGUUGCAAUAUGAAAUGAACUUUGAUUAUCAUAAUAAAAGAAUUUUAAGAUCAGCCAAGAAAAACAAAAGUCACUUAACAUAAUGUUGAGUCGAGUGAUGAUCAAAUAUAUCAAACGACCAAUGAAACAUCUUUCAUGUAUAUAUCAUAUGCAUCAAUACGAGGUUUCAUCGAGAUUUGGUGAAGAUAUUGGUUAACUAAUCAUUUGAGCAUAUGUUUCAACGGGUCUUAAACGAGACUCUAAUAUUAUCAGAAAAAUUAUGGUUGGUUUAACUUAACCUUAAAAAACCGACUUGUACGGUAAAGACUGCUCCAAUUUAUAUACACAUAUUCAAACAAUUAAUGAUAUAUGGUAUAACGUUAGAUUUCUUAACAAUUUACAAAAAAGUAUAUACACAACGCACACGUUACCACGGUCCUUUGAAGGAUCGUGGUGAUAUAUCUAAAUUCAGGUGCCACUAUUAUUUUAAUUAAAAAUUAUUAACAUAUUACAACGGUUAUUUUGAACAACUGUGGUGAUAUCUUUAAUCUUUCAUUGGUUUGAAUCCCAACACUAGUAAAUCCGUGAUUUCUUCAGAAUUUUAGUUGAGUCUUUCACUUUUAUUUAAAAGUGAUAUCACUUCAAUUUUUUUUAUAAAAUUUCAUUAAGUAAACAAUAUAUCAUCAUGACUCUUUUAGAUGACCGUGGUGGAAUGAUUUAUUCUUUUGUGAAAAUAAUCUGCUCUUUUGACUCGAUAGCUCUACCAACUAUAAUGAUAACUAUGACACAUAGGAACACAUGUUCACGAAGAAGGUAGAGGUUUCUGGAUGUACUAUAAAUAGAUAUAUCGAAUAGAACCGAAUUUGAGAACCCUUCAUCUUUCUCUUAUCUUUUUGAUAUUUUAUGUAGAUUGUCAAACCAAGAAUGAAAUAUGGAUAUAGAAUGAAUUUUAUCAUAUUCAAUUUUAUUCUAUCCAUUAUUUAUAAACUCGAACAAUAUAAUCUCACUAUUUAUCAUUCCAUUCCAUUUUGUCUCAUACCACCAAUCUAAACAUAAGAAAAAGGUAUAGCCUAUAACAGCUAGGUUGGGGUCUUCAGUGAAUCAUCCACCAAAACAAUUAUUCUAUGUGUAUACUAGUGUUAUUGAUUCUAGGUUAUGAGACAAUUGUUAUUUAUUGUUGGAAAUUGUUUUGCAAUAUUAGUUUCAAAAUGACAAAAGAGUUAAAUAGCAUUUAAUGCUUUGCUUUAAGUCCCACAUAGAAAGUGGAGACAUCCUUUAAAGCAUUUAUAAAUGCUUUGGAACUUUAAAAAGAACUCUACAACCUUUGUGAUUGUCACUAUAUGGAAUCCCUAUUUCUUCAAAAUCAAUAUCUCCCCAAACAUCAUCAAGUAUUACAAGAAUCUUUUCACCAUUUGUUAAUCUUUUCCAUAGUUUUUUAGGUCGGUCUGAUUCACUACAGUCAUCAAACUUCAAUCCCAAGGGCCCAGCAAUAUCAUC
This 2994-nucleotide long non-coding RNA is filed under the name Lathyrus oleraceus (garden pea). Its description in RNAcentral is "Pisum sativum (pea) long non-coding RNA (PSAT_LNC019624)". Lineage: Eukaryota; Viridiplantae; Streptophyta; Magnoliopsida; Fabales; Fabaceae. The record is from RNAcentral.